This 100-nucleotide microRNA precursor is filed under the name Populus trichocarpa (black cottonwood). Its description in RNAcentral is "MIR480 microRNA precursor family". It matches the Rfam family "MIR480 microRNA precursor family". Lineage: Eukaryota; Viridiplantae; Streptophyta; Magnoliopsida; Malpighiales; Salicaceae. The record is from Rfam by way of RNAcentral.
UAAUUUGUUUGAGGUAAAUCCUCAUAUAAUUAUGAUAAAGUUAUAUUUAAUUAUUUAGAAACACACGUAAAAAACUAUUAUAUGAAUAAUAAAUUUUUAA